This 85-nucleotide non-coding RNA is filed under the name Desulfosporosinus acidiphilus. RNAcentral's name for it is "c-di-GMP sequence". It matches the Rfam family "c-di-GMP-I riboswitch aptamer". Rfam says of the family: GEMM was predicted in a large-scale screen for bacterial structured RNA regulatory elements. Genes associated with GEMM are involved in a diverse array of functions, including chemotaxis regulation, signal transduction, secretion and chitin. Lineage: Bacteria; Bacillati; Bacillota; Clostridia; Eubacteriales; Desulfitobacteriaceae. The record is from RNAcentral.
UUUCGACAAGGGCAAACUUAGCGAAAGCUAAGGACGCAAAGUCAUGGGCCUUAGGGUUUAAACUGAUGGCAGCCAGACUACCGAA